AGCGGCGGACGGGUGAGUAACACGGUGGGUAACCUACCUAUAAGACUGGGAUAACUUCGGGAAACCGGAGCUAAUACCGGAUAAUAUUUCGAACCGCAUGGUUCGAUAGUGAAAGGUGGUUUUGCUAUCACUUAUAGAUGGACCCGCGCCGUAUUAGCUAGUUGGUAAGGUAACGGCUUACCAAGGCGACGAUACGUAGCCGACCUGAGAGGGUGAUCGGCCACACUGGAACUGAGACACGGUCCAGACUCCUACGGGAGGCAGCAGAA
This 269-nucleotide ribosomal RNA is filed under the name uncultured Staphylococcus sp. Its description in RNAcentral is "partial 16S ribosomal RNA". It matches the Rfam family "Bacterial small subunit ribosomal RNA", at positions 94 to 354 of the family's 1533-position model. The record is from RNAcentral. Lineage: Bacteria; Bacillati; Bacillota; Bacilli; Caryophanales; Staphylococcaceae.